Pan troglodytes (chimpanzee) is the source of this 1963-nucleotide long non-coding RNA. RefSeq lists it as uncharacterized. The transcript has 3 exons. Lineage: Eukaryota; Metazoa; Chordata; Mammalia; Primates; Hominidae. The record is from RefSeq and is a predicted model, not a curated record.
CCACAGCCUCCCCUCUUUCAUUUUCUCUUUCCUCUCAGUCUAUCUUAUAUUUUUCUUCUUUGUUCUCUAUUCUUUUUAUCUUUUUCUCCCUCUCUUGCUUCCUUUUGUUCUCCAGGGUGGCCGGUGUGGGCAGCUGGUGGCUUCCAUAAACUUCAAAUCUUUUUCAAGAUCAUGCAUUCUUGCAACCGGGGAAGAAUGGCCUACAAAGCCUGGUUUGGACCACAUAUAUCCCGGAUUUCCUUGGACCGACUCAACUAUUUGUCCCAGCUCCAAGUUUCAAGAAGCCAGUCAAGACUGUCAGGAAUUCAAAGAGUCUCACUCUGUUGCUCCAGCUGGAAUGCAACGGCACGAUCUCGGCUCACUGCAACCUCCGCCUCCCAGGUUCAAGCCAUUCUCCUGCCUCGGCCUUCUAAGCAGCUGGGACUACAGGCAUGCACCACCAUACCCAGCUAAUUUUUGUAUUUUUAGUAGAGAUGGAGUUUCACCAUGUUGGCCUGGCUGGUCUCAAACUCCUGACCUCAAGUGAUCUGCCUACUUCGGCCUCCCAAAGUGCUGGGAUUACAGGCAUGAGCCACUGCUCCUGGCCCCAUUACUUAGCUUUUUUUUAAAAAUACACUUUAUGGAUAAAGGUCCAUGAAAAGGAUAUUAGCUCUCUGGCAUAUAAGGAAAAAGAUAAAAUCACGUUGUAAUUAACAAUUCGGCCCCUUUUUUCACUAAAUACACAUGUCCUCAAUAUCACCAAAUAUGGCUUAAUUUAGUAUCUCUCAGAGCUCAACGAUGCCAUUCUGUAGUAGAAAUGUAACUUCUAAUUACACAGCAUUAACAUUAUGAACUAUUUUAAAACUUUACUAACAGGUUACAACAGGCCGUGAACUAUAUCUGAGGCCAAAUCUUAUGAGGUUCUCAAAAGCUCUUUUAUAGAUCAUUUAGAAAGAUUAAAGAAACCCACCCUACCCCUGACAGUCCGUGCCCAGUCAAUCGAAGGUCCCAUUAAACAUUAAACAGACCCUUAUUUUCUGCUUUCCAACUAUGGAUUUCUAUCUCUCCACAAAUUGUAUCAUUGGCAAUUUAACUUUUAAAACAUGCUUUCAUAUUUAUCAUCUCAUUUUAUCUGUGAAUGCAGUUAGGGGCAUAUAUAAAAUAGAAAUAACAGCUCCAUUGUUCCUUUGACUAUGGUUCACAGUCAAUAUCUUACCUCUUUCUCUAAAAUGUCAAGUGUACAAAAGUAAAUGACUAGGAGCAGAGGACGGAAGAGCCACGGCUGGGGAGGGGACAGGGGUUGAGAGAGAAGGAUCUGGGGAAGAAUGAAGAGCAACAGGAAUAAGAACCACCACAUUUUGGGGUUAAACUUUCAGAAAGCAUUAGGAAUUCAUUUCUGAAUUCCUAAAUGGCAUAGGAAAGAAAGAUACCUAAAUAUGUGAGAUUAUUUUAAUACGAUGUCUCCACAUAUGGGAAAGAAGGGCAUAACACACUCCUUACAUGUGUAACCAACAUCUGGGAAUCCUAUUGCUCAACUGGGGUUAGAAGGAUCUCUUCUCAGAAAUAAGCUGCUCUGAUAUUUGGGACUGUGUUGAAAUGUCAAAUCAUCAUUCCUGCUCAUGUUUUUUAACUCGGUGUAUACACAAAAAUGUUGCUGUUCACAAGUCCUAAAAAUGAAAUCUAAACUUGAGUGGUAAGGAUUAUGUAUCUAUACGGCAUGCAGAUAAAAUGUACUACUAAUGGGGGUAAUUAAGUUGGGAGGAGAUUCAAUAAAGCAGAGUGUACAAAGUCAGAAAUCAUGCUACUGUAGAAAUUAAAAGUGACUUCAAUUAGACGAGCUUCUUUUCCCCCAGAAAUUAUUUUUGCUUGGAAAGAGCCAGCUAAGGCUGGGCUCAGUGGCUGUCACCUGUAAGCUCACCAUUUUGGGAGGCUGAGGCAAAGGGAUCUCUUGAGGCUGGCAGUUUGAGACCAGCCUGGACCACAU